CCGAGUUGGAAUAGUUAAUCCUGGGUCAUUCUGGGAUCCUAGGUUUUCUUGCAUCAUGUUUCACACUGCUCAUAAUUUUACCGGUUAGGAUUAACAAUUAAUCCUGCAUUUUCAUAAACUGACGUUUCACACUGUAUACCCCUAAACUCCGGGUUAACAUUCUUAUUUGCAUAAUUUGCUGUGUCAAUGUCAUUGACUGGACGAACACACCACUUUACAUGUUUACAUAAUGACUCUACUAUUGCACAUUUUCAUAUUAUUGCAGUUUGUACUAUCAAGUAGACCUAUUUGUAAAUGACCUUUUCAUGGGACAAUAAAGGUAAGAAUAAAAAAGACUAUUCUUCACUUCAAUUCCCGUAUUUUCCAUCACCAUUUGACAAAUGCUAGAACAAAAAUAGUCAGGGGCUUUAGUGUAAAGCUAGGAUAGGCAAUUUUCUAUAAUGUUUAAUGCAAUGAUAGGAUGUCCUACUUGCCUGUCAACCUAUGUAUUUGCAUCUCUCCACCCAGCCAAUAGCGAGAGUUUUGGGCAUGGCUACUGUAGCAGACUGAGCCACAGGAUGUUUGGCAGCAAGAAAUUCAGAAGAUUCUGUUACAGAAGUCUAAGCAAAAUUCAUAUCCAUUAAACUAAAGGCCUUAAUGACAUCAUCCAGGAAGUGACAUCACUUUGGAGGGAAAACAAUAGCACAAACAUAUGUAAGUAUGAGCAAUAGAUGUGAAGCAGUCUGUGGUAUUUAGUUUUACAUUAAUUUACAUUAGCAUUAAUGUUAAUCACACAAUAAAAGAAAAAGGGAAUCACUCGCUGCCCCUGAUUGAACUGCUUUUGUAGUUUUAGUAAUUUAGUUAUUUUGUUUGUAAUGAAAACACUUAAGUGAUUUUACGUUUUACUAUUUGUUUUUGUUUUUUACUUGAAUGCUUGUUUAUAUGUAAAAUGAAAAAAAGUAUCACACUAUAGACUUGUUUUUAUUCUUUAUUGCAUCAGUUAAUAUUUAUAACAAUAAAGAUAAAAAAAUAGCUAUUAUUAAUCUAGUAAUGAUUAUUAAGAAAUGAAGUGGGGGAAAAGAUAAUGUUGCUAGGUGAUUUUGCUUUGGAACCUUCAGAAAACUUUAAAUCAAUUUUUCUCUAAAUUUACUUUACUGACUCCAUCGACUUCAAACAGGUGAAGCUCAGUCAUUUUUCAUCAGAUUCCAACAAAUCAUACAUCACUUUGAAGGUAAUUUAAUGGAGAAUGUUGAAAUUGUGACUCAUUUUGCUUGCUCAUUGUGACUCAUUUUGCUAGCACAGAUCACAUAUAAAAGCCUGGUCAGUGGCAAAAAAGUAAUCAGAAUGCAGUAAUUUACAGUAUUUCUUUACUCACUGACACAUGAACUUUCCUUUUAUUUAACG
Molecule: long non-coding RNA, 1383 nt
Organism: Cyprinus carpio carpio
Lineage: Eukaryota; Metazoa; Chordata; Actinopteri; Cypriniformes; Cyprinidae
Source: Ensembl